RNAcentral lists this ribosomal RNA (424 nucleotides) under uncultured Clostridium sp. RNAcentral's name for it is "bacterial SSU rRNA". It matches the Rfam family "Bacterial small subunit ribosomal RNA", at positions 355 to 794 of the family's 1533-position model. The record is from RNAcentral. Lineage: Bacteria; Bacillati; Bacillota; Clostridia; Eubacteriales; Clostridiaceae.
UGGGGAAUAUUGCACAAUGGGCGAAAGCCUGAUGCAGCAACGCCGCGUGAGGGAAGACGGUUUUCGGAUUGUAAACCUCUGUUUUCGGUGACGAACAAAUGACGGUAACCGAGUAGGAAGCCACGGCUAACUACGUGCCAGCAGCCGCGGUAAUACGUAGGGAGCAAGCGUUGUCCGGAAUGACUGGGCGUAAAGGGAGCGUAGGUGGCCUUUUAAGUGAAAUGUGAAAGCCCGGGGCUCAACUCCGGAACGUCAUUUCAUACUGGAAGGCUGGAGUGCAGGAGAGGUAAGCGGAAUUCCUAGUGUAGCGGUAAAAUGCGUAGAUAUUAGGAAGAACACCAGAGGCGAAGGCGGCUUGCUGGACUGUAACUGACACUGAGGCUCGAAAGCGUGGGGAGCAAACAGGAUUAGAUACCCUGGUAGU